This 1631-nucleotide long non-coding RNA is filed under the name Olea europaea subsp. europaea. The record is from RNAcentral. Lineage: Eukaryota; Viridiplantae; Streptophyta; Magnoliopsida; Lamiales; Oleaceae.
CACUCAAUCAAGAUUCAGAACAUCAUAACAAAUCAACAUAACUAAUGGAAUCCCAUAUAAAAAACUCAAAAGGGCUUCCAAAAAUCAAACUAAAAAGGAAAAUUACAGACCACAGCAUUGUUGUAUAUCUAAUUUUUACAUGAGAAAGCUUAUCUAAAACUCGAAGUUUAAUCCCUAACGUACUUAUCCAAAAAUUUAAAAGCACAAAAAAAUUGUGUGAGUUUCUGUCAAACUCGUUUAUGAAUAGUCGUGCUUGGGCUCUUCAUCUGAUAUAAGAAAAAUAAGGAAAUGAAAUGCUCAUUUGUAAAGGACAAAAUUGCACGACCAGAUGAAUACUGGAAGAAUUAUUUUACUGUGAACUUGAUGAUUUCAAUUGCUCAAUCUUGUACAUAUAUAUACAAUGAAUAAGAAGGAUCUAGAAUACUAUACAAGUUGGCUGAAAGUACGUGCUAUGCAACAAAAUAACAGAAUGGAGAAAAUGCUAUGCAAUAGAAAAUUGUCCUCAAUUUGACGUUUCUACCCUCCAUCAUCAUGCUCCUGAUCAUUAGCUUGAUGCAGCUGAUUAUGCAUUAUUUGUGUUCCAUAUUUCAACACCCCCUCGCAAGAUGGAGAGUGGAUGUUAACAACUCCCAUCUUGAUCAAGUGUUGAUAAAACUGAGAAGAGUUUAGUGAUUUUGUCAAAAUCUCAGCAACCUGAGAACUGCCACUAAGAUGUUUAGCUAUUAUGCUUCCUUCCUGAAUUUUGUCCCGUAUCAAAUGACAAUCCAGCUCAAUGUAUUUAGUUCUUUCAUGGAAGAUGGCGUUGCCCUCUAUGUGGAGAGCAGAUUUGUUGUCACAGAAUAGGUUAACAGCCUCUGGGUUUUUUAUUUUUAAAUCUUGAAACAAGUACCUAAGCCAAGUCAGUUCUUAGCAUACAUUUGCCAUUGCCAUAUAUUUUGCUUCUGUUGAAGACCUAGAUAUUGUGCUAUGUUUCUUUGAUUUCCAAGAUAUCAAGGAUCUUCGAAGCAUCACGCAAUAUCCUAUUACACUCUUUCGUGUGUCAGGACAGGCUCCCCAGUCUCAAUCAUUGUAAGCAUUGAGCUGUAAAUCUAAAUCAAAGGGAAAUAGCAAUCCUUGUCCUGGAGCUCUUUUUAUGUACUUCAGCACUUUAUUAGCAGCACUCAGAUGGGAAGUGCGAGGGGAAAUCAAGAAUUGGCUUAAUAAUUAUACUGAGUAUGAAAGAUUUAGUCUGGUAAUGGUUAAGUACAACACUCUCCCAACAAGUCUUCUAUACAUACUGAGAUCAAGGAGAAGUUCUCCAUCUGUCUUUGAAAUUCUAACAUUCUGAUCCAAUGGUAUCUUUGUUGGCACACAUCCUAUUAUCCCCUAUUCUGAUAAUAUGUCCAAAGCAUAAUUUCGUUGGCAAAUAUGAAUUCCUUUAAUAGACCUUGCCACUUUUAUUCCCAAAAAAUAUUUCAAUGUCCCCAAAUCUUUGAUCUUGAAUCUUCUAUCAAGUAGGGCUUUGAGAGAGCUAAUGUUGUUCAGAUCACUGCUAGCCACAAUUACGUCAUCUACAUAGACGAGAAUGGCAAUGAAAGAACUCUCAGUACCUUGUAAAUAGGCUGUAAUCAGCUUUAGAUUGUGUGAAUCCU